CCUGGCGCGGGAGCCGGGCCUCUGCCAUGGGGGUGGGCGCCAGCACCGAGCAGCCCGCGGGCGGCGCCGAGGGCUUCCACCUGCACGGGGUGCAGGAGAACUCCCCAGCCCAGCAGGCGGGCCUGGAGCCCUACUUUGACUUCAUCAUCACCAUCGGGCACUCGCGGCUG
This is a long non-coding RNA of Hipposideros armiger (great roundleaf bat), 170 nucleotides long. RefSeq lists it as uncharacterized. The record is from RefSeq and is a predicted model, not a curated record. NCBI's taxonomy places the organism in Eukaryota, Metazoa, Chordata, Mammalia, Chiroptera, Hipposideridae. The transcript is spliced from 2 exons.